RNAcentral lists this ribosomal RNA (492 nucleotides) under uncultured bacterium. RNAcentral describes it as "partial 16S ribosomal RNA". It matches the Rfam family "Bacterial small subunit ribosomal RNA", at positions 29 to 507 of the family's 1533-position model. The record is from RNAcentral.
AGUGAACGCUGGCGGUAGGCCUAACACAUCCAAGUCGAACGGCAGCACAGUAAGAGCUUGCUCUUACGGGUGGCGAGUGGCGGACGGGUGAGGAAUACAUCGGAAUCUACUUUUUCGUGGGGGAUAACGUAGGGAAACUUACGCUAAUACCGCAUACGACCUACGGGUGAAAGCAGGGGAUCUUCGGACCUUGCGCGAUUGAAUGAGCCGAUGUCGGAUUAGCUAGUUGGCGGGGUAAAGGCCCACCAAGGCGACGAUCCGUAGCUGGUCUGAGAGGAUGAUCAGCCACACUGGAACUGAGACACGGUCCAGACUCCUACGGGAGGCAGCAGUGGGGAAUAUUGGACAAUGGGCGCAAGCCUGAUCCAGCCAUACCGCGUGGGUGAAGAAGGCCUUCGGGUUGUAAAGCCCUUUUGUUGGGAAAGAAAAGCAGCAGGUUAAUACCCCGCUGUUCUGACGGUACCCAAAGAAUAAGCACCGGCUAACUUCGUG